UAACGCGUGGGUAACCUGCCCUGUACAGGGGGAUAACAGCUGGAAACGGCUGCUAAUACCGCAUAAGCGCACGAGGAGACAUCUCCUUGUGUGAAAAACUCCGGUGGUACAGGAUGGGCCCGCGUCUGAUUAGCUGGUUGGCAGGGUAACGGCCUACCAAGGCAACGAUCAGUAGCCGGUCUGAGAGGAUGAACGGCCACAUUGGAACUGAGACACGGUCCAAACUCCUACGGGAGGCAGCAUGC
This 245-nucleotide ribosomal RNA is filed under the name uncultured bacterium. RNAcentral's name for it is "partial 16S ribosomal RNA". It matches the Rfam family "Bacterial small subunit ribosomal RNA", at positions 111 to 353 of the family's 1533-position model. The record is from RNAcentral.